CCUACGGGAGGCUGCAGUGAGGAAUAUUGGUCAAUGGACGCAAGUCUGAACCAGCCAAGUCGCGUGAGUGAUGACGGUCCUAUGGAUUGUAAACCUCUUUUGUCAGGGAGCAAAGGGCGCCACGUUUGGCGCUUUGCGCGUACCUUAAGAACAAGCAUCGGCUAACUCCGUUCCAGCAGCCGCGGUAAUACGGAGGAUGCGCGCGUUAUCCUGAUUUCUUGGGUUUAAAGGGGGCGCAGGCGGAAUGUCAAGUCAGCGGUAAAAUUUCGGGGCUCAACCCCGUCGUGCCGUUGAAACUGGCGGUGUUGAGUGAGCGAGAAGUAGGCGGAAUGCGUGGUGUAGCGGUGAAAUGCAUAGAUAUCACGCAGAACUCCGAUUGCGAAGGCAGCAUACCGGAGCUCAACUGACGCUCAUGCACGAAAGCGUGGGUAUCGAACAGGAUUAGAUACCCCUGUAGUC
This 459-nucleotide ribosomal RNA is filed under the name uncultured bacterium. RNAcentral describes it as "partial 16S ribosomal RNA". It matches the Rfam family "Bacterial small subunit ribosomal RNA", at positions 338 to 795 of the family's 1533-position model. The record is from RNAcentral.